UUGGAGGGCAAGUCUGGUGCCAGCAGCCGCGGUAAUUCCAGCUCCAAUAGCGUAUAUUAAAGUUGUUGCAGUUAAAAAGCUCGUAGUUGAAUUUCGGGAUUGACGUGACGGUCGUGCCUUAAGGGGUAUGAACUGUCGCCGUUGAUUUCUCACCUUCUGGAGAAACUCGAUGCCCUUUAUUGGGUGUCUUGCGGAUCCAGGACCUUUACCUUGAAAAAAUUAGAGUGUUUAAAGCAGGCAUUUUUGCUCGAAUACAUUAGCAUGGAAUAAUAGAAUAGGACGGCUUGGUUCUAUUUUGUUGGUUUCUAGGAUCACCGUAAUGAUUAAUAGGGAUAGUUGGGGGCAUUAGUAUUCAAUUGUCAGAGGUGAAAUUCUUGGAUUUAUUGAAGACUAACUACUGCGAAAGCAUUUGCCAAGGAUGUUUUCAUUAAUCAAGAACGAAAGUUAGGGGAUCGAAGACGAUCAGAUACCGUCGUAGUCUUAACCAUAAACUAUGCCGACUAGGGAUCGGAUGAUGUUAAUUUUUUAAUGACUCAUUCGGCACCUUACGGGAAAC
This 556-nucleotide ribosomal RNA is filed under the name uncultured Glomus. Its description in RNAcentral is "SSU rRNA". It matches the Rfam family "Eukaryotic small subunit ribosomal RNA", at positions 548 to 1098 of the family's 1831-position model. Lineage: Eukaryota; Fungi; Glomeromycota; Glomeromycetes; Glomerales; Glomeraceae. The record is from RNAcentral.